GGAAGUGUAAAAGUCUCUGGUGUGCUUCCUGGAUUUCAAAUCCAGCGACAGACCCGGUUUAAGCUAGGCCUGUGGUGGGUUCGAUUCCCAUACACUUCCGCCA
This 103-nucleotide transfer RNA is filed under the name Deltaproteobacteria bacterium. RNAcentral's name for it is "tRNA-Sec". It matches the Rfam family "Selenocysteine transfer RNA". Lineage: Bacteria; Pseudomonadati; Myxococcota; Myxococcia. The record is from RNAcentral.